GAUCCUGGCUCAGGAUGAACGCUAGCGGCAGGCUUAACACAUGCAAGUCGAGGGGCAGCGCGGGAUAGCAAUAUCCUGGCGGCGACCGGCGGAAGGGUGCGUAACGCGUGAGCGACAUGCCCGUUGCCCGGGGACAACCGGUGGAAACGCCGACUAAUCCCCGAUGGGAUAUUGUGCCGCACGGCACGAUAUUGAAAGUUACGGCGGCGACGGAUUGGCUCGCGUCCGAUUAGCUUGUUGGCGGGGUAACGG
RNAcentral lists this ribosomal RNA (252 nucleotides) under uncultured bacterium. RNAcentral describes it as "partial 16S ribosomal RNA". It matches the Rfam family "Bacterial small subunit ribosomal RNA", at positions 15 to 263 of the family's 1533-position model. The record is from RNAcentral.